RNAcentral lists this long non-coding RNA (585 nucleotides) under Homo sapiens (human). RNAcentral's name for it is "non-protein coding lnc-MEI4-3:2". Lineage: Eukaryota; Metazoa; Chordata; Mammalia; Primates; Hominidae. The record is from RNAcentral.
GUUGAGACUUUAUUCACUCUGGGCAGUUUGUUGAAGAUUAGGUGGUCAGCUCACAAUGAAUCAUAAGCUGCUUUUGUCCCUUGCUGUCUAUGCUUAGAAGCUAAAAGGUUAAGCAGCGAUGUCAGCGCUAUCAGGGAGCUGUGGAGACUGGAAUUGAAGUUCAGAACCUUUCAUGGGAGACAGCUCAGGUAAACAUCCAAGCAAAGUGAUAAAGGAAGAAAACAAUACGAAACUCACUACCCACUGUGGGCUGCUUUCAAGCUUUAACUUCAGAUCCUCCUGCUAGUUUUUACUUUUCAGAGUGUUUAAGUGCUUGUUUUUGUUUGUUUGUUUGUUUGUUUUUUGUAGUUUGUUCAGUUUUAGUGGUGAACAGUGCAUUAGAUAGAUUCUAGUUGGCUUAUUUCAUCUUAGCAAUCAUCGAAAACUUAGAUAUUUUAUCUUUAAAAUUACAAACCAAUAUGGACUACUACAAACAUCUAUUAGAGCGUCGCUGCCUUUAAAUAUGAUUCCCUAGGUUGGGUGUGAUACUUCUGUAUUUUAGAAAGUUCCCCUGCCCCAAUAAAUCUAAAAUGUAAGGUUAAAAAC